UUACAUUACUCGGCCUUUUGGCUAAGAUCAAGUGUAGUAUCUGUUCUUAUCAGUUUAAUCUCUGAUUAAAAAACGCAGAUAACAAAGCCUGUAUCCUUGUUCACUAGAGCUUAAACGUGCCCUUUUUAAAAUGAGAAGCUUUGUCUAGAUGUGAAUUUUCAAACUGUAUUCCAUUACCCAAUCACAAA
Molecule: small nuclear RNA, 188 nt
Organism: Branchiostoma floridae (Florida lancelet)
Lineage: Eukaryota; Metazoa; Chordata; Leptocardii; Amphioxiformes; Branchiostomatidae
Product: U2 spliceosomal RNA
Exons: 1
Source: RefSeq, a predicted model, not a curated record